GAUAUGUGAAUUCAAAAGCUGAGAUUGCAUGAGCUGCCAUGUUGUUGGGAGGUACAAGGACAGUGCUGCUGCUGCUGCUGCAGCUGCUGCAGCUGCUGUAGCUGCUGUAGCUGUAGCUGUAGCUGUAGCUGUAGCUGUAGCUGUAGCUGCUGUAGCUGUAGCUGUAGCUGUAGUUGCUUACUGGAUGUCUGAAGGAAAUCAGUUUAUUAAUCACAUUUUAAU
Molecule: non-coding RNA, 222 nt
Organism: Pelobates cultripes (western spadefoot toad)
Lineage: Eukaryota; Metazoa; Chordata; Amphibia; Anura; Pelobatidae
Source: the annotation of a GenBank genome assembly